This is a long non-coding RNA of Anopheles aquasalis, 108 nucleotides long. RefSeq lists it as uncharacterized. NCBI's taxonomy places the organism in Eukaryota, Metazoa, Arthropoda, Insecta, Diptera, Culicidae. The record is from RefSeq and is a predicted model, not a curated record.
UCGCGAAUACUUGGCACACGAUAGAGAGAGAGAGAGAGAGAAGAGUGUUGUAAGACAAUAUGCAUGGAUACAUUAUGAUGGUACUUAGUGCCAUCUCGAGAGAGAGAG